RNAcentral lists this ribosomal RNA (250 nucleotides) under uncultured bacterium. RNAcentral's name for it is "partial 16S ribosomal RNA". It matches the Rfam family "Bacterial small subunit ribosomal RNA", at positions 524 to 776 of the family's 1533-position model. The record is from RNAcentral.
GACAGAGGAUGCAAGCGUUAUCCGGAAUGAUUGGGCGUAAAGCGUCUGUAGGUGGCUUUUCAAGUCCGCCGUCAAAUCCCAGGGCUCAACCCUGGACAGGCGGUGGAAACUACCAAGCUGGAGUACGGUAGGGGCAGAGGGAAUUUCCGGUGGAGCGGUGAAAUGCAUUGAGAUCGGAAAGAACACCAACGGCGAAAGCACUCUGGGACGGUACUGACGCUGAGACGCGAAAGCGUGGGGAGCGAACAGG